AAAGGUGUUUGUUAGUAGGCACACCACUUUCUUGAAAAAUAAACUCAUUUAAGAAGGUGGCAGUGGGAAGAAUAUUGAACUUAUAGAAGUUUAGGAUCUAUAAAUCGAUCUAGAAAUACCUAUGUUUGAACCACAAGAAGAUCCUCAAUCAGAAGUAUCCAAAGAUGAGGUACAUCCAUAAUACACACCUCUUCUCCAA
RNAcentral lists this long non-coding RNA (199 nucleotides) under Elaeis guineensis (African oil palm). RNAcentral describes it as "long non-coding RNA (EGUI_LNC059719)". Lineage: Eukaryota; Viridiplantae; Streptophyta; Magnoliopsida; Arecales; Arecaceae. The record is from RNAcentral.